AAGACCAUAGUCAAUAUUAUGAUAUAUGAGUUGCAUUCAUAAGUAGUUAAUUAUAACUGGUUUUG
This 65-nucleotide transfer RNA is filed under the name Dotilla wichmanni. RNAcentral describes it as "tRNA-Ala". The record is from RNAcentral. Lineage: Eukaryota; Metazoa; Arthropoda; Malacostraca; Decapoda; Dotillidae.